AAACUGAGGAACAUAAAUAGUCCUAUCUAAAUUUUACUGAUUUUUGCUUCUGCCUACUUAUACAAGACUUCUAGCUCCUUACAAAUCCCCUCUUCCCAUCUUUUUCUUCUCUAUCCUCUGUCUAUUCUUUCUCAGAAUGUCCAGAUACAACUUGUGAACGCACACAGCUUAUGUUGUGUACUUCUGUGGGGCACUUCUACUUCUGUGCUUUUACCUGGCACUAGUUUCCCACUGGGUACUGCUGUUAGUCUGUUAGGUAGUGUAUUCUACCAUUUGUGUGUGGUGGGGUGGUACUUGGAUUCUACUGACUCUUUGGGCCGCAUCAUUGCUCUUGCUCUCAGGAGAAACGGCGGUCUCCUGCUGGGUGCUGCCAUUGUUCCUUUGGACGCUAUUGCUGCUCCUCUAGAUGCAUCUCCUCUGAUAAUUCAAAGCACUUUUGGUGGAGCAGAUAAGCAGUGUUCUGUGGCAGAGACAGACCCCUCUUUCAUUUUGUCCUAUGUGGUGAGAGGAGUUCCAGAAUAAUCUGAUGCUCUCCCAAAGUGAUGGAGCUUUUUAUUGAAAUGGCAUUUUGCAACUUAUAUACACAGUAAUCUCUCUUCUUAGAGCUCUGACAUGUACCUGUGAGGGUGGGCCAAGGACAGAUUUGAGUGGUAGUCAUUUGCUAAAUGUGGAGUCACUUCUCCCUUCAGAUCACUAAGAUUUUGUUGCAAGGUCAAGUUUUUUGUCUUUUCCCAUCUGUUUUUCUCUUCCUGUAGGAUGAGUUUCCUCCCAGAAGCUUCUUGAUUUCCUAAGCCCAUCCCACCAGAUUUAUUAGUUUUUUUCCCCUCUUCCUUUCUUCCUCCCUCUCUCCAUCCCUUCCUCCCUCCACAUAUGUGGCAUAGGGAAAUUCCCAGGCCAGGGGUCGAAUUGGAGCUGCAGCUGCUGACCUGCAGCCACAGGCAUGCAGGAUCCAAACCGCAUCUCGGCCCUACACCACAACUCACAGCAAUGCCAGAUUCUUACCCCACUGAGCGAGGCCAGGGAUCAAACCUGAGUCCUCAUUGAUAUUAGUCAGGUUUGCUACUGCUGAGCCACAUGGGAACUCCAGUUUAAGAGCUUCUUAACCACAGCAGUGGCAAUAGUUGAGGCUCAAGCUUGGCUCACCUUUACAGAGAAGCCCUUGAUUUUGUAGUACCCAGUGUACCCUCUUCAAGAUAGAGUAAUCAGCAGUGGUGCAGUGAAUAGAAUCCCAUUUUCUUUUUUUUUUUUUAAGUAGCUUAAGGUGAUGAAUGAACCAAUAGGAGCUAUCAAACUUUGUUUUAAAAAAUAUAUAUUUCAAGCUUUUAAAAAAGAUUGUUGAAUAAAAAGAAUAACCCAUCAGUACCCAAAGCCCCAACUACUACCUCUUUUCUCUUUUGAAUUUGUGCUAUACAUCAUUAUUAUUUCCUUCAUAAAUUCUGUCAGCAUAUUAGUAAGAGAAUGUGGCCAAAAGAAAUAGCUUUUUAUCAAUAUUAAGCAGCUUUGCAAAGUCACAGUUCCAUUUGGAUAUAUUUGCAAAAUGCCCGGCUGCAGAGAAAACUCACUCCAUGACUGAGAUCAAAAUCUUUUUGUCACCAGUGAUUGAGUGUCAGUAAUGAUCGAAUUUAAAGAGCAUGCAUUAGAGAAUUUCUAGUGGUUUCACAAGAGGUUAUUUCAGUAAUAUUCGCAGCCUUAACAUUUUUUAUGAGAAGGUUUGAGAGCUUAGGGUCGGAUUUGGGUGAUUUAGCUAACGCUCAUCAAUUGAGCCUACAACAAUAUUGCUAAACUAAAGCUAAGGUAAUGAAGUAGAAGAUUUUUUCAUUGCAACCCAGCCAAUUUCCAAAGUUUAAAAAUAGGAAAGAAAGACAGUUUUAUCAGGUAAUAUGCAAAAUAAAAGUCAAAUUCAAAGCUUACUAAUUAAAAAUACAGGCUUUUCAGCUGUGCACACAAUUCAGAUAAAAUGCUAAAAUCAUUCCUUGUAUAUAAAGGAAGACACAUUUUGCUCUGUAUAAACAUUUAUAAUUCACUUUCUAUGUGUUAGGUACUGUUAGAUGUUUACAUUACCUUAUUUGCAGAUGUCUAUGAUCCUAAAGCCACUUCCCUAAGCACUACUCAGUACUUAUAUACAGAUUUUAAUUGAAAAUAGCUUAAUAAUUACAAAACAUGUUUUUUAAUAGAUGAGAAAAUAUAAUCAAGCAAAAAGUUUUUAAAAAUCACCCAUAAUCAUAUUAUCCGGAGAUAACCAUCACAUCAGCUGGGUUAAUGUCCUUCCAGGUCUGUUGCUAUUCAUGUAUUUCAUUUUACAGGGAUUUAUUUCUAUAACAGGUUAUUCUCUUCCUAGCUUUCUUUCUUCUUUAGUAUGCUUAAUUACUUUUUUAAACAUCAUCAUGAUUGUUCAAAGUUAGAGCGAUAACUGAUGCUUAUAAUCCUAUCAUUCAAAUCUAAGGUUGCUAUGAAGACUUCAUUCUGGAGGUCCGGGAGAGGCAGCCAAGAAGUUACUUUUAAUCUAAAGAGAGCUUCAGGACUCAGUGAAAUCAGUACCACAAUAGAGCAGGGGUACACAUGUUCAGAGAUUGUUCUGAAUCAUAUAUGGACUGACAUCUGCAGAAAUGGUCUUCAUAUUUCAUGCUUUAUUGGGUCUUUUGAAAGAAUGCUUCUGUGUCAAGAGUGGGUAUAAGCAUUGUUUGAUGAGGUGAUUUGAAAGAAAAUUAUGGUCAUGAGUUUAGCUUUUGUUACUAAAAAUACAUCAUUUGCAGCAACAUAGAUGGACUGAGAGAUUCUCAUACUUAGUGAAGUAAAUCAGAGAAAGACAAAGAUCAUAUGAGCUCAUUAGUAUGUGGGAUUUAACAAAAAAUCAUACAAAAGAACUUACAAAGCAGAAACAGACUCAAAGAUUUUGAAACCAAAUUUCUGGUUACCAAAAGGGAAAUGUGGGGUGGGAAGGAUAAAUUAGGGGGUUAGGAUUGACAUAUACACAUUACUAUAUAUACAAUAGAUGGGUAACAAGUACCUACUGUAUAGCACAGGGUAAUCUACUCAAUACAGUAUAAUAACCUAGAUGGGAAAAGAAUCUGAAAGAAACAGAUAGGUGUAUGUAUAACUGAUUCACUUUGCUGUAUAUCUGAAACAAAUACAACUUUCUAAGUCAACAUACUCCAAUAAAAUUGAUUUUUAAAAAAGAAAAUAUAUCAAAGAUCUUUAUUCAGAUAUAUCUCUCAUCACAUAGAAACUCACCAUUAGAAUUACUUCCUAGUUGUAGGACAUUCAAGGUCACUGUGAUGAUGCAAAUGUGUUAUCUUGGAGGGGAAGUACUACUCUCAUUAAAAAACAGCUGAAUUUGAAGGGGAAGUAGAACUUAGAAAAUAGCACAGUGCCUAGCAUAUAGUAGUUACAUGACAACUAAAUUUGUUACUUGAAUAUUGAAUGAAAAGGUACAGAGGUUUUGAUAUAAGGUGCUACAGAAAUGGCCCAGAAAGUAAGACAGAAGAACAUCAAAUACAAGUAAUGGCUCCUCAGCUGAUCUCAAUUUAUGGAGUGUUCAGUGUUCACAGCUUGUGGAAUGGUGACUAUCCUAAAUAAAAUAGGUGAGGAAAAAUGUGUUUUACCUUUUGCUACCCUAAAAAGACAUUUAGGCAAGAGAUUGAAUUCCCUAAUCCAAUUUGAGUUGAGUAUUAUUCCUGAGAUGACCAAAUAAGAACUAGGUAUCUUUAAGAGGAAGGAAAAGAAGAGAGAUUCAAUUUUCUAAAUGAGGCCGAAGUUACUGGCAGGUUUCAGUAAGGCAGUUCUCACCUAAAGGUAUGAGGCAGUUGUUAUUUCAUAGUUGAUCUCAUCUAUGGUUGGAGUUUCAGAUCAAGAGUUUGCUCAUCUUCUUCCAGUGCACUCUACAUAUAGAAAAAUUAUUCUAGAGCAAAUGCAGUGUAAUGCUGAGUGUGAUAGUAAAGUUCGAUUGCCUGGCUUGGGAGCUAGAAUCUAUGUGCGCUACCUGAUGAGCCUGUUACCACCCAGAGAAACAUGGAAGAGUAUAAGAUUAGGACAAGACAAGAAGUUGAGUAAAGUUUGGUAAAGAGGAAGGAAGUUUAGGUGCUGGUGGUGCAUUUUAGCUAGGCAUCAGGAAGGCAUCCUGAGUAGGGCUCUGUCCAAAAGGAGAAAAGUUAGGAAAGCUUGAAAGGAAGAAGUGGAAAGGCAUGAAAAGGGUAAGACUGCUUCUGCGUUCUUUUUCCCUGCCUGGUAGAGUAUUCUUAGGCCAUAAGCUGUAGGAGAGAUGGGAGUUUCCGGAUCCUAUAUUGGUUUGCUUUUACUUUCUCUUCUCACUCCUUGGGUUUUAUACUACCUUUUCUCUAUGUCCUUCAUUAUUGGCUAGAACAUUUUGUAAUAGCUUUGGAUGAUGAAAAUAAGCUUUGUUAAAAAAUGCCAGAAAGUCAAAACUCCAUUCAAAAUGUACUUUUCUGCCUCCAAGUUUUCUUUCUAUGAGUGGAUAUUUUAGUUAUGAAAAUUCAAAUUAUAGUAUGGAUAUCAGGGAAAACCCAAUAAAGGUAAACUAAUGCACUUUAUUUAAUGUAUGCUCAAAUUUAAUGUAGGCAUUUUUUAUUUUAGAAACAAACUUAAAAUAUGUGGCUCUUGUCUUUGGUGAGAGAGAAGUGGAAAAAAGAAUCUUUGCAUUCCAGGAAGCAGCCCAAUUUUAAUUAAAAAUGCCAGGCUAAUUUGUCUCCCUCCCAGAGCCUACCGAUAUUUUGCCUUUGGGCUGUUGUGUAGACUUGUCUGCCAUUUGUCUGAAUAUAAAUAACUCUCAUUUUCACACUUGUCUUUUCUUGCAGUUUGUCAAAAUGGUUGCUUUAUAGCAGCAAAUUAAUUUCCUAACGGGUGAGCAUAUAUAUAUAUAUAUAUAUAGAGAGAGAGAGAGAGAGAGCGUGCUCAAGCACACGGCUUAUCAACAGAAGACUACUUUAUCUGUUGCAUGAAAAUAAAACAUAGUUGUGUUAGGGGUCACAAAGACAACCCUCUGGUUGGAUGAUUUGCUAGAACGACUGAUAGAAUUUAGAAAAGCUGGACUUAUCAUUAUGGUUCAUUACAGUGAAAGGAUACAAAUUAAAAAUAGCAAAGGAAAAAGGCACAUAGGAGAAAGUCCAGGAGAAACUGGACACAGGCCUUCAGUGUCCAGUGAGUUGCACAGGUGGCAUUUAAUUCUCCUAUUAACAAUGUGUAAUGACACGUGAAAAGUGUUGCCAAACAAUAAGCUUAUUGGAGCCUUGGUGGAGGGUUUUAUGAGAGGUUAGUAACAUAGGCAUGGAGCUCCACAUGACUGCCCUUAGGUACUGAGUACUUAGGUACUCAGUCUCCUACACAGCCCUGACCCCUGCCUCCUGUCUAUGAUCAAACUGCCCAGUGUAACAAAAAGUAGUGUUCAAGUUAAAUCACAUCGUUAGCAUAUUCUAUCUGGUGUGGUCCAAGGCCUCGGGUAUACAGAAGUACUCUUAUUAGGCAGGAUGUUCCAAAGGUUUGUAAAUUAUUUCCCAGUAACCCAUUAAAGGUCAGUCCUGGAGAUCUUUGGAACAUGCAGCAUUUGGUUAGGCCAGGCCUGACGAGUUAAGUCUUUACUGUACAAGUAAAUACAGACAUUUUUCACACAAUUCUGAAUGCUGAAUUAUUUAUUUUGGUAUUUUAGAACCAAACUAAGUCCUCUGUGAUUUGGAUCCUAAGUGUAUAGUAGAGCACAUUUGGGAGAAUGUGCCCUAUUAGAAUAAGGAGCAUUUGAAGGGAGUUUCCGUUAUGGCUCAGUGGAAAUGAAUCUGCCUAGGAACCAUGAGGACGUAGGUUCGAUCCCUGGCCUCCCUCAGUGGCUUAAGGAUCUGGCAUUGCCAUGAACUGUGGUGUUGGUCAUGGAUGUUGCUCAAGAUUUGGCAUUGCUGUGGCUCUGGUGUAGGCUAUCGGCUACAAGUCCAAUUUGACUCCUAGCCUUGGGAACCUCCAUAUGCCAUGGGUGUGGCCCUAAAAAG
RNAcentral lists this long non-coding RNA (5990 nucleotides) under Sus scrofa (pig). RNAcentral describes it as "lncRNA (ENSSSCG00000057740.1)". The record is from RNAcentral. Lineage: Eukaryota; Metazoa; Chordata; Mammalia; Artiodactyla; Suidae.